RNAcentral lists this ribosomal RNA (360 nucleotides) under uncultured Gammaproteobacteria bacterium. RNAcentral's name for it is "bacterial SSU rRNA". It matches the Rfam family "Bacterial small subunit ribosomal RNA", at positions 402 to 779 of the family's 1533-position model. The record is from RNAcentral. Lineage: Bacteria; Pseudomonadati; Pseudomonadota; Gammaproteobacteria.
UGAGUGAUGAAGGCCUUAGGGUCGUAAAGCUCUUUCGCCUGUGAAGAUAAUGACUGUAGCAGGUAAAGAAACCCCGGCUAACUCCGUGCCAGCAGCCGCGGUAUUACGAAGGGGGUUAGCGUUGUUCGAAAUUACUGGGCGUAAAGCGCGCGUAGGCGGACAUUUAAGUCAGAGGUGAAUUCCCAGGGCUCACCCCUGGAACUGCCUUUGAUACUGGGUGUCUGGAGUUCGAGAGAGGUGAGUGGAAUUCCGAGUGUAGAGGUGAAAUUCGUAGAUAUUCGGAGGAACACCAGUGGCGAAGGCGGCUCACUGGCUCGAUACUGACGCUGAGGUGCGAAAGUGUGGGGAGCAAACAGGAUU